CCGCGUGUAUGAAGAAGGCCUUCGGGUUGUAAAGUACUUUCAGUUGUGAGGAAGGCGUUGGAGUUAAUAGCUUCAGCGCUUGACGUUAGCAACAGAAGAAGCACCGGCUAACUCCGUGCCAGCAGCCGCGG
RNAcentral lists this ribosomal RNA (131 nucleotides) under uncultured Photobacterium sp. Its description in RNAcentral is "partial 16S ribosomal RNA". It matches the Rfam family "Bacterial small subunit ribosomal RNA", at positions 397 to 520 of the family's 1533-position model. Lineage: Bacteria; Pseudomonadati; Pseudomonadota; Gammaproteobacteria; Vibrionales; Vibrionaceae. The record is from RNAcentral.